Molecule: ribosomal RNA, 253 nt
Filed under: uncultured bacterium
Lineage: Bacteria
Description: partial 16S ribosomal RNA
Rfam family: Bacterial small subunit ribosomal RNA
Source: RNAcentral
UACGGAGGGGGCGAGCGUUGUCCGGAAUCAUUGGGCGUAAAGCGCGUGUAGGCGGUCCGGUAAGUCCGCUGUGAAAGUCGAGGGCUCAACCCUCGAAUGCCGGUGGAUACUGUCGGGCUAGAGUGCGGAAGAGGCGAGUGGAAUUCCUGGUGUAGCGGUGAAAUGCGCAGAUAUCAGGAGGAACACCUAUUGCGAAGGCAGCUCGCUGGGACGUUACUGACGCUGAGACGCGAAAGCGUGGGGAGCAAACAGG